RNAcentral lists this ribosomal RNA (517 nucleotides) under uncultured bacterium. RNAcentral describes it as "bacterial SSU rRNA". It matches the Rfam family "Bacterial small subunit ribosomal RNA", at positions 9 to 517 of the family's 1533-position model. The record is from RNAcentral.
GAGUUUGAUCCUGGCUCAGAUUGAACGCUGGCGGCAGGCCUAACACAUGCAAGUCAAGCGGUAGAGAGAAGCUUGCUUCUCUUGAGAGCGGCGGACGGGUGAGUAAUGCCUAGGAAUCUGCCUGGUAGUGGGGGAUAACGCUCGGAAACGGACGCUAAUACCGCAUACGUCCUACGGGAGAAAGCAGGGGACCUUCGGGCCUUGCGCUAUCAGAUGAGCCUAGGUCGGAUUAGCUAGUUGGUGAGGUAAUGGCUCACCAAGGCGACGAUCCGUAACUGGUCUGAGAGGAUGAUCAGUCACACUGGAACUGAGACACGGUCCAGACUCCUACGGGAGGCAGCAGUGGGGAAUAUUGGACAAUGGGCGAAAGCCUGAUCCAGCCAUGCCGCGUGUGUGAAGAAGGUCUUCGGAUUGUAAAGCACUUUAAGUUGGGAGGAAGGGCAGUAAAUUAAUACUUUAGCUGUUUUGACGUUUACCGACUAGAAUAAGCACCGGCUAACUCUAGUGCCAGCCGCCG